Molecule: ribosomal RNA, 253 nt
Filed under: uncultured bacterium
Lineage: Bacteria
Description: partial 16S ribosomal RNA
Rfam family: Bacterial small subunit ribosomal RNA
Source: RNAcentral
GACAGAGGGUGCAAACGUUGUUCGGAAUUACUGGGCGUAAAGCGCGCGUAGGCGGCUUUGCAAGUCGGGUGUGAAAUCCCCAGGCUUAACCUGGGAACUGCAUUCGAGACUGCAUUGCUAGAGUAUGGGAGAGGGAAGUGGAAUUUCCGGUGUAGCGGUGAAAUGCGUAGAUAUCGGAAGGAACAUCAGUGGCGAAAGCGACUUCCUGGACCAAUACUGACGCUCAUGUGCGAAAGCGUGGGGAGCAAACAGG